UACAGAGGGUGCGAGCGUUGUUCGGAAUUACUGGGCGUAAAGCGUGCGUAGACGGCUAUCUAAGUCGGGUGUGAAAGCCCCGGGCUCAACCUGGGAAUUGCAUUCGAGACUGAAUAGCUAGGGUGCGGUAGAGGGAAGCGGAAUUUCCGGUGUAGCGGUGAAAUGCGUAGAUAUCGGAAGGAACAUCAGUGGCGAAAGCGGCUUCCUGGACCAGCACCGACGUUCAGGCACGAAAGCGUGGGGAGCAAACAGG
RNAcentral lists this ribosomal RNA (253 nucleotides) under uncultured bacterium. Its description in RNAcentral is "partial 16S ribosomal RNA". It matches the Rfam family "Bacterial small subunit ribosomal RNA", at positions 524 to 776 of the family's 1533-position model. The record is from RNAcentral.